AUUGAACGCUGGCGGCAUGCCUUACACAUGCAAGUCGAACGGCAGCACGGGAGCAAUCCUGGUGGCGAGUGGCGAACGGGUGAGUAAUAUAUCGGAACGUGCCCAGUCGUGGGGGAUAACGUAGCGAAAGCUACGCUAAUACCGCAUACGAUCUAUGGAUGAAAGCGGGGGAUCGCAAGACCUCGCGCGAUUGGAGCGGCCGAUAUCAGAUUAGGUAGUUGGUGAGGUAAAGGCUCACCAAGCCGACGAUCUGUAGCUGGUCUGAGAGGACGACCAGCCACACUGGGACUGAGACACGGCCCAGACUCCUACGGGAGGCAGCAGUGGGAACUUUGGACAAUGGGCGCAAGCCUGAUCCAGCAAUGCCGCGUGCAGGAUGAAGGCCUUCGGGUUGUAAACUGCUUUUGUACGGAACGAAACGGUGAGGCUCUAAUACAGUUUGCUAAUGACGGUACCGUAAGAAUAAGCACCGGCUAACUACGUG
Molecule: ribosomal RNA, 484 nt
Filed under: uncultured bacterium
Lineage: Bacteria
Description: bacterial SSU rRNA
Rfam family: Bacterial small subunit ribosomal RNA
Source: RNAcentral